CUACACAUGUAUGAUGAGGCCCACCAUGCGCAUAAUGAGGCCACCACCAGACCACUGAUGCAUCGGACAAAAGGCAUGCCCACUGACAGGGCCAUUUAAAGAUGCCCCCAUGCAGCUCCGUAUGAUUGGAUGUUAUCGAAAUAUAUUUUCAUCCUUUCGUCCUUCAUUCUGCUCUAUCUAUAAAUGGAGGUAAGAAAAGACUCCCAGC
Molecule: long non-coding RNA, 208 nt
Filed under: Elaeis guineensis (African oil palm)
Lineage: Eukaryota; Viridiplantae; Streptophyta; Magnoliopsida; Arecales; Arecaceae
Description: long non-coding RNA (EGUI_LNC036762)
Source: RNAcentral